This 253-nucleotide ribosomal RNA is filed under the name uncultured bacterium. RNAcentral describes it as "partial 16S ribosomal RNA". It matches the Rfam family "Bacterial small subunit ribosomal RNA", at positions 524 to 776 of the family's 1533-position model. The record is from RNAcentral.
UACGUAGGGUGCAAGCGUUGUCCGGAAUUAUUGGGCGUAAAGAGCUCGUAGCCGGUUUGUCGAGUCUGCUGUGAAAAUCCAGGGCUUAACCCUGGACCUGCAGUGGGUACGGGCAGACUAGAGUGCGGUAGGGGAGAUCGGAAUUCCUGGUGUAGCGGUGAAAUGCGCAGAUAUCAGGAGGAACACCGGUGGCGAAGGCGGAUCUCUGGGCCGUAACUGACGCUGAGGAGCGAAAGCAUGGGGAGCGAACAGG